UCCGUAGGCGGUGCGGCAAGUCGGGAGUGAAAUCUCUGGGCUUAACCCAGAGGCUGCUUCCGAAACUGCCGUCGCUAGAGUGUGAGAGAGGCGAGUGGAAUUGCGGGUGUAGCGGUGAAAUGCGUAGAUAUCCGCAGGAACAUCCGAGGCGAAGGCGGCUCGCUGGAUCACAACUGACGCUGAGGGACGAAAGCUAGGGGAGCAAACAGGAUUAGAUACCCUGGUAGUCCUAGCCCUAAACCAUCAGGACUUGGGGUUUGCCCUGUACGGGGCAAGUCCCGUAGCUAACGCGUUAAGUCCUGCGCCUGGGGAGUACGGUCGCAAGGCUGAA
This 331-nucleotide ribosomal RNA is filed under the name uncultured bacterium. RNAcentral's name for it is "bacterial SSU rRNA". It matches the Rfam family "Bacterial small subunit ribosomal RNA", at positions 568 to 898 of the family's 1533-position model. The record is from RNAcentral.